GUUGUGGUCUCAUCCCUCCUCGGGGAGAUCAGAGUCACAAAAACUCAAUUUGUUACCAGCGGUGAUAUUUGCAACAAUGCUAUCAAACUGUUCUAGCGUGACAUUGUGAUCUACGUAUGCCACAUCCAACACCUUCUGCAGAGCCUCUCAGUGUGGUUCUGAAUUCAAAAGCAAUGAUAACACAAAUAUUUUGGAUGGUGUUUGUAGAAGCUGGUCUACAACAUUGUAC
This 229-nucleotide long non-coding RNA is filed under the name Lathyrus oleraceus (garden pea). RNAcentral describes it as "Pisum sativum (pea) long non-coding RNA (PSAT_LNC028183)". Lineage: Eukaryota; Viridiplantae; Streptophyta; Magnoliopsida; Fabales; Fabaceae. The record is from RNAcentral.